GUCAAAACAGACAAGGGUAUAUGGUGGAUGCCUUGGCAAUAUGAGCCGAUGAAGGACGUAGGAGCCGACGAAACUCCUCGGGGAGCUGGCAAACAAGCUUUGAUCCGGGGGUGUCCGAAUGGGGAAACCCAUCCUAAUGGAAGAUUAGGAUGCCUAUGCGCUGAGGAGCGCGUAGCGCGGGAACCGUGCGAAGUGAAACAUCUCAGUAGCACGAGGAAAAUAAAUCAAUCCGCACCUCACUAGCGUUCGGCGCAAGUUGAAAGUUAUUAAGUUCCAAGUUAUCAAGCCUGCAGGAAUGCAGCCGCUUUGAACUUAAUAGCUUGAUAACUUGCCGACACCGGGCGGUAGCGAGGUGCGGCGAGAUUCCGUCAGUAGUGGCGAGCGAAAGCGGAAACAUAUAGAUAUUUAUUCGUUGGAUUUGAUUAUAGUAUCCAGCGAAUAAAUAUUCUAUUAGCCCAAACCUAUCAAGUGUUUUCUUGGGUCGCAAGACUUAGGGAUUAAAGCUUACAGGCGUUGCUUGAUAGGUGUAAUAAGUUGAGGUGGUUGCGGAUCUGUAAAUCCGCAGGGAAAUUAUGUUUGCUGUGUAGCAGAACACGCCUGGAACGGCGGACCAAAGAGGGUGAUAGUCCCGUAUCGCGAAACACCUUGCAAUUUCCUCAUCUUUUCUUGAGUACAACCAGACACGAGAAAUCUGGUUGGAAGUCAGGUCGACUAAGAUCUAAGGCUAAAUACUCAUAUUGACCGAUAGCGAACAAGUACCGUGAGGGAAAGGUGAAAAGCACCCCGGAAGGGGAAUGAAAUAGUAUCUGAAACCAUAUACUUACAAGGAGUCGAAGCGCUAACCGUUUUCCGCAAGGAAAACGGCAGCGUAACGGCGUGCCUAUUGAAGAAUGAUCCAACGAGUUAAUCUUACGCGGCUGGUUAAGCUCCAACAAGAGCGAAAUCACAGUGAAAGCGAGGACAAAACGUCCGUAUUAGGAUAUUGAUCGUCCCGAUCAAGCAUCGGGACGCUACAAUUUCCUAAAAGUCGCGUGAGUUAGACCCGAAACCCGGUGAGCUACGCAUGGCCAGGAUGAACGUUAUGUAAAAGUAACGGGAGGUCCGGACCCACUAUUGCUGCAAAAAUAGGGGAUGAGCUGUGCGUAGGGGAGAAAUUCCAAUCGAACUGGGUGAUAGCUGGUUCUCCUCGAAAUAGCUUUAGGGCUAGCGUCGAGAGUUCCCAAGAGAGGUAGAGCACUGAAUCGAUCCCUGCUGCGCAAGCGGUAGGAUCGAACCAAACUCCGAAUUCUCUUUGGUCAAGAUCUCGGCAGUCAGUCCGUGGGCGCUAAGGUCCAUCGGACAAAUGGAGAAGAAUCCACACCAUCGUCUAAGGCCCCCAAAUCCUGGCUAUAGUGCAAAGGAUGUGGGGUUGCUCAUACAACCAGGAGGUUGGCUUAGAAGCAGCCAUCCUUUAAAGAAAGCGUAACAGCUCACUGGUCAAGCGAUCCUGCGCCGACAAUAUAUAGGGGCUAAGUCAGGUGCCGAAGACAUGGAUCAGCGCGUCUCACUAUCGUUCGACGCGCAAGUAGAAAGUGUAAGGUUAUAAAGUUAUAAAGUAACUGCGGAGACGCAGCCACUUUUAACUUUCAACUUUAUAAUUUGAUAACUUGCGCAGCGAGCGGCAGCGAGAUGCGCUGGUGGUAGAGGAGCGUUGUAUGCAGGCUGAAGCCGCAGCCGUAAGGCGCGGUGGACAGCAUACAAGUGAGAAUGUUGGAAUAAGUAAUAUAUAUAGAGGUGAGAAUCCUCUUCGCCGAAUAUCCAAGGGUUCCAGGGCAACGAUCGUCGUCCCUGGGUUAGUCGGUCCUAAGAGCAGGCCCCAAGGGGUAUGCCCGAUGGACAACACGGUUGAUAUUCCGUGACCGCUUAUAAGUUAUCUUGGGCGGGACGCAUCACGGUAGUGCGAGCGCUAUCUGACUAUUAGCGUCGCUGUCUUCGUAGCGUGGAAAUCCAGGCAAAUCCGGAUUUCCUAUGAGCUGCAUUGCUACCUCGCAAGAGAUGCGGUGCAAUUCUGUAAACGCGAAAGGACGGAGAAACCUGGCAACGGGAAUUCGCAUGAACCGAGGUGUCAAGAAAAGCGUCAAAGUUACGCUUAUAAGCGACCGUACCGUAAACCGACACUGGUGGAUGGGGAGAGAAUCCCAAGGCGUCCGGAACAAUGUUCGUUAAGGAACUCGGCAAAAAAGCAGGUGUACCUUAGGUAUAUACCUUUCCCUUUUAUAUGCUGGGUAAUGGAAAGUUUGGGGCGCAGUAUGGCAGGCGGACAGCCGCCGAGCAUGGCUGCCAGUGUGGACUGGCGGCGGUGUCGUAGUUGUCUAAGGAUAAUGACCUUAGCUUUACGGCUUAUGCAUGAGCCAAGCCCCUGGGCGGAGCAAUCCGCCCACAAAUUCUAGGAGGUAGUAUUACUCCCACAAUGGGGAUGAACCUGUAUUAUCAUCCCCUCCAUUACCCAGCAUAUUAAAAGGGACGCAGCGAAAGACCCCUCCCGACUGUUUACCAAAAACUUAGGUCCGUGCUAAAGCGCAAGCUGAUGUAUACGGGCUGAUGCCUGGCCAGUGUCAGAAGGUUAAACCCCUCGGCGAAAGCUAGGGGGCCAAGCCCUGAUGAACGCCGGCAGUAACUAUAACUGUCCUAUGGUGAACGAAUUUCCCGCUUUUUAAGCGGUUUUAGCUGCCAUAGUAAAACUUGGCUAAAUGCUGGAAACUCUGAUGAAUCUGACUGUACUAUGGUAUAAUGUAACCAUAGAGAAAUCUAUGGAAACAAAAUAUUAUACCAAGUAAAAAUCAAGUCAGUGCAGACAAUCAGCAGGAAAAGCUAAUUUACUGGAUUGUUGGGUUUGUUGACGGCGAAGGAACAUUUUCCGUAAGCUUCAACAAAAACAGCACUACGAGUUCUGGUUGGCAAAUUUUUCCCGAAUUUGUGAUUACUCAAGGCGCAAAAAGUUUAAACUCAUUGGAAGAAAUUCAAAAAUUCUUCGGUUGCGGUAAGCUUUAUGUAAAUCGCCGGAAAGAUAAUCACAAAGAAAAUCUUUACAGGUUCUGCGUAAGAUCCUUUAGAGAUUUAGAAGAAAAAAUUGUGCCAUUCUUUCAAAAGCAUCCAUUAAGGACUGCCAAGAAAGAAGACUUCAAUAAAUUUGUGCAAAUCCUUUCUUUAAUUCAGAAAGGAAUCCACUUAACCCCGAAAGGGGCAAGUGAAAUUGCAAGGAUUAUUGAAACCAUGAACCGUAAAAAACAAUCCAGAUAUUUGCUCUCCUCAGAGACUAUACGCCAAGCUUCAAUCUAAAAUUGAAGAAGAUAUAGUCCGACCUGCAUAGCGAUAUGCAGAGCAAAGCAGAAAUGACUUUGCCUGAUGAAUAAUCAUCAUGUAACACUUCGAGCGAAAUUCCUUGUCGCGUAAGUUGCGACCCGCACGAAUGGCAUAACGAGUAGGGGACUGUCUUAACGAACAUUCCGAUGAAUUUACAAUGGCGGUAAAGAUGCCGUCUACCCGCAGCAAGACGGAAAGACCCUAUGAAGCUUUACUAUAGCGUGUCAUUGAAAUUAGUUUUUUGUUGUUUAGCAUAGGUGGGAGCCUUUGAAUCCCGGCCGCUAGGCCGGGGGGAGGCAACAGUGAAAUACCACCCUGCAAAGAAUUGAUUUCUAACCACGGCUUAACCUACCGUGGGACAGUGGCUCGUGGGUAGUUUAACUGGGGCGGUUGCCUCCUAAAUGGUAACGGAGGCGUUUAUUAAGGUAUGCUAGGCGCGGAUGGAAAUCGCGUCGAUAGUGCAAACGCAUAAGCAUGCUUGACUGCAAGGCCGGCGAGCCGCGCAGGGACGAAAGUCGAAGUUAGUGAUCCGAUGCGUUCGAGUGGAAGACGCAAAGCCCAACGGAUAAAAGUUACUCUAGGGAUAACAGGCUGAUCCUCUCCAAGAGUCCAUAUCGACGAGAGGGUUUGGCACCUCGAUGUCGGCUCAUCACAUCCUGGGGGUGAAGAAGCUCCCAAGGGUUAGGCUGUUCGCCUAUUAAAGUGGUACGCGAGCUGGGUUCAAAACGUCGUGAGACAGUUUGGUCCUUAUCUGCUGUGGGUGUACGAAACUUGAGUGGUCGCAUCUCUAGUACGAGAGGACCGAGAUGCAUAGACCUCUGGUGUACCCGUUGUCCUGUCAAGGGCAUGGCGGGGUAGCUAGGUCUAGUUAGGAUAAGCGCUGAAGGCAUAUAAGCGUGAAGCCGUCCACAAAACUAGGUUUCGUUGCCUAGGAGCGAUC
Molecule: ribosomal RNA, 4282 nt
Filed under: Candidatus Doudnaibacteriota bacterium
Lineage: Bacteria; Candidatus Doudnaibacteriota
Description: Candidatus Doudnabacteria bacterium (hot springs metagenome) 23S ribosomal RNA
Rfam family: Bacterial large subunit ribosomal RNA
Source: RNAcentral